UAUCUGAGCAAGCGGUGGAAAUUUUCCAUGCAGCCCGGCUAUAGUAAAUAUAGCAGCAGAAGCGUAAUUAACAACGCACUGUGAGACAG
Helcococcus kunzii ATCC 51366 is the source of this 89-nucleotide regulatory RNA element. It matches the Rfam family "NiCo-AnGGAG riboswitch aptamer". Rfam says of the family: Nico riboswitches are selective metalloregulatory riboswitches that recognice Ni2+ and Co2+ metals. NCBI's taxonomy places the organism in Bacteria, Bacillati, Bacillota, Tissierellia, Tissierellales, Peptoniphilaceae. The record is from Rfam.